AACCCACUGUGAACCUUACCUAUCGUUGCUUCGGCGGGACCGCCCCGGCGCCGGCUCAGGCCCGGAACCAGGCGCCCGCCGGAGGCCCGAAACUCUUGUCUUUACAGUUUUCUCCUCUGAUUGAAAAACAAAAUAAAUCAAAACUUUCAACAACGGAUCUCUUGGUUCUGGCAUCGAUGAAGAACGCAGCGAAAUGCGAUAAGUAAUGUGAAUUGCAGAAUUCAGUGAAUCAUCGAAUCUUUGAACGCACAUUGCGCCCGCCAGUAUUCUGGCGGGCAUGCCUGUUCGAGCGUCAUUUCAACCCUCAGGCCCCGCCUGGCGUUGGGGAUCGGCGCGGCGCGAGAGCGCUGCCGGCCCCGAAAUACAGUGGCGGUCUCGCUGUAGUCCUCCUCUGCGUAGUAGCAACACCUCGCACUGGAACGCGGCGCGGCCAAGCCGUUAAACACCCCACUUCUGAAAGUUGAGCUCGGAUCAGGUAGGAAUACCCGCUGAACUUAAGCAUAGCAAUGAGCGGAGGGGGAUCAUUACGAU
Molecule: ribosomal RNA, 531 nt
Filed under: Didymostilbe sp. F10
Lineage: Eukaryota; Fungi; Ascomycota; Sordariomycetes; Hypocreales; Stachybotryaceae
Description: eukaryotic LSU rRNA
Rfam family: 5.8S ribosomal RNA (bases 142-295)
Source: RNAcentral